CCUCGUGAUCCACCCGCCUUGGCCUCCCAAACUGCUGGGAUUACAGGCAUGAGCCACCACGCCCAGCCACGACAUCCAAGGUUUUUACCUCCCACAUGAGUCAGUACAUGCAACAUUUAUCUUUCUGUACUUGGUUUAUCUCACUUAACAUAAUGACCUCCAGUUUCAUCCAUGUUGCUACAAAUGACAGGAUUUCAUUCUUUUUAUGGCUGAGUAAUAUUCCAUUGUAUGUAUAUGCCACAUUUUCUUUAUCCUUUCAUCCAUAAAUAAUAGGCAUUUAGGUUGAUUCUAUAUUUUGGCUAUUGUGAAGAAGAAACUGGUUUUAAAGUCAUGCAUGACCUGGCCUUCACUGUCCCAUGAGUUUCAAGCCACUCCCCACAUCUCAUUCCACCCACAGCUCUUGACCCCUGUGCUAGUCUGUUACUGUUCUGAUUAUUCACUGCCUCUUCCUAUGGGAGGAUUUGACUUCCUGUCCCACUGAUGUCAGCCUUGGCCACAUGACCUGACUUGCUUUGACUCAUCAGCCAGAUACUAGUAGUGAAAUAUUAGUGGAAGAGACAUGUUCCCUUCCUCAGCAGAAGCUUUAAGAGUCAUCUGUGGCUUUGACACCUAACUCAUUCCUCCUUCAUGAGUUUAGCAUGUCCCAGAUAGGGGCUGUCCUUCAGCCUAGGCCCUGCAACGAAGCGUCAUGGAGUGGAGCAAAACAUAAAACAUGUCCACAGUGGACAUGUGGCUUGAAUGAAAAGUAAAUCUUUGCUUUUGUGGGUUCCUGAAAUUUAGGAGGAAUAGCUAGCAAUAGCUGACUAGUGUGUCCACCAGUGCAUUAGCCAAGCUUUCUCCCUACUUCCAGACCUACCCUUCUUGGCUCUUGUCCCCUCCUGAUGUCAGCAUAGAUGCAACUUUGUGAAAUCAGAACUCCUUCUUUCCCUGCAAAAAGAAAAAAAUACUAGCCUAGGUGCUAGUAGGCAGAAUAAUGCUCCCCACAAAGACGACUGUGCCCUCAUCACUGAAACCUGUAAAUAUGUCAUCUUAGAGGGCAAAGUUGGUGUUGCAGAUACGGUUAAGGGUCACAAAAUAUGGAGAUUAUCCUGAAUUACCCCACAGGGAUCCUUAAAAGAUGGAAAAGGAAGCAGAAGAAUCAGAGAAGAUGAGGCAGUGGAAGCAGAGGUUACAGCAAUGCCGUUCUUGGCUUUGAAGGCAGAGGAAGGAAGGGGCUCUGAGCCACAGACUACAGGAAGCCUCUAGAAGCUGAAAAAGGUGAGGAAACAGAUUCUCCCCUAAAGCCUUUGAAAAGAAAUGCAGUCCUGCUGACACCUUGAUUUUAGCCCAGUGAGACCCGCUCCAGACUUCUGAUCUCUAGAAAUGCAGGAGAAUACAUUUGUGUUGUUUUAAGCCUCUAAGCUUGUGGUAAUUUGUUACAGCAGCCAUAGAAUAUGGGCGUGGCAUCCCUCCCUGGCGAGGAGCUCCCAGAGCACCCUCAUCACAGUCCUUGUGCUUCACAGGGUUGUGUCUUCACUUCUCCCCGGCCAGCUGGACUCCAAGCUUGACCUUUCUACACUUCCACGGUUGUCUCUUCAGAGCCCAGAAUAGUGCAAGGAACUUACUCUUGGAACAGACACUUCAUCAGCCACCCAAGCAGGAAACUGCCUUUCUGCAGAAGGGGGAGGAACUACUCUAGCUUUUCUGUGCAUUUCCAUCCUGGAGUGCUCAGGACUUCUCAGGUUUUAAGCAGGAAAUACACAAUUGACACUGGCAGGGAAAUCCAGUUCCACCUAAUUUCAGGUGUGUUCACAUUCAGUGGCUCAAACACUGUAAGCUUUCUCCUCUUAGCUCUUUGUUGUGUCAGCUUAACUCACAGGCAGCUAGUCCUCAAAGAUGACCACAUCAUUUAAUUCACAUCCAGUCAGCUUGGCAGCCUCACGGAAAAAGAAUGCUGCCUUUUCCCAGUACAUCCAGCAAAAAGCCCCGGGCUUGGUGUAUGUUGGCUCUGGUUGGACUAACUAAGACAUGUGCCCACUAGUCCCUGGGAACAGGUGGAUGUGGUUCAUAUGCCUCAUCCAGACCUCAUGAGCCGAAAGGAGGAGAGCUGAGCACUAAAAGGAAAUAAGGUUGGUCCCAGGUGGAGAAGAUGGAACAGAAGCUGAAUUAAAACAGCAACCAUCCAGACCAUGGAUAUGUAUAUUCAUAUUGCAGACAAUGGAAUAUGGAAUUGCAUAUUCAUUUGGAUCCAUAUCCAUGUAUCUAUUGUUGACAUAACAAUGUAACAGUAUUACAGUAAAUACCUCCCAUAAACUUUGCAACAUGUUUAUGAAAAUAAACAUGAUGGCCAGGUGGGGCGACUCAGGCCUACAAUCCCAGC
This is a long non-coding RNA of Sapajus apella (tufted capuchin), 2359 nucleotides long. RefSeq lists it as uncharacterized. The record is from RefSeq and is a predicted model, not a curated record. The transcript has 3 exons. NCBI's taxonomy places the organism in Eukaryota, Metazoa, Chordata, Mammalia, Primates, Cebidae.